UGAUGCAAAGAACUUAGUCCAAGCUUUGAUCUUUUCUGCACUGCCUGCCAAAGCAGAACCUUGAGAAAUACCCAUGUUUGGGGGAUGAGAGGAAGAAGAUAAAUCAGCAAAGAAAAUAGUGAUAAGAAAGAUGCAGAGCCCAGGGAUAUGGAGGGCCAAUUGUGUUUGUAAAACACUUAGAAGGGCGCCUGACAUGUGAGUUGCCUUGUCUAAUUCCAGCCCUGAGAUAGCUACCCAAGAUUGUUGUAACCUCCAG
Long non-coding RNA from Rhinopithecus roxellana (golden snub-nosed monkey), 256 nucleotides. RefSeq lists it as uncharacterized. Lineage: Eukaryota; Metazoa; Chordata; Mammalia; Primates; Cercopithecidae. The transcript is spliced from 3 exons. The record is from RefSeq and is a predicted model, not a curated record.